CCUACGGGAGGCUGCAGUGAGGAAUAUUGGUCAAUGGACGAGAGUCUGAACCAGCCAAGUAGCGUGAAGGAUGACUGCCCUAUGGGUUGUAAACUUCUUUUAUAUGGGAAUAAAGUGUUCCACGUGUCGUGCUUUGUAUGUACCUUAUGAAUAAGGAUCGGCUAACUCCGUGCCAGCAGCCGCGGUAAUACGGAGGAUCCGAGCGUUAUCCGGAUUUAUUGGGUUUAAAGGGAGCGUAGGUGGGUUGUUAAGUCAGUUGUGAAAGUUUGCGGCUCAACCGUAAAAUUGCAGUUGAAACUGGCAGUCUUGAGUACAGUAGAGGUAGGCGGAAUUCGUGGUGUAGCGGUGAAAUGCUUAGAUAUCACGAAGAACUCCGAUUGCGAAGGCAGCUCGCUGGACUGCAACUGACGCUGAGGCUCGAAAGUGUGGGUAUCAAACAGGAUUAGAUACCCGUGUAGUC
Molecule: ribosomal RNA, 460 nt
Filed under: uncultured bacterium
Lineage: Bacteria
Description: partial 16S ribosomal RNA
Rfam family: Bacterial small subunit ribosomal RNA
Source: RNAcentral